Molecule: ribosomal RNA, 466 nt
Filed under: Vreelandella stevensii
Lineage: Bacteria; Pseudomonadati; Pseudomonadota; Gammaproteobacteria; Oceanospirillales; Halomonadaceae
Description: partial 16S ribosomal RNA
Rfam family: Bacterial small subunit ribosomal RNA
Source: RNAcentral
CCUACGGGGGGCAGCAGUGGGGAAUAUUGGACAAUGGGCGAAAGCCUGAUCCAGCCAUGCCGCGUGUGUGAAGAAGGCCUUCGGGUUGUAAAGCACUUUCAGUGGGGAAGAAAGCCUUGGGGCUAAUACCCUCGAGGAAGGACAUCACCCACAGAAGAAGCACCGGCUAACUCCGUGCCAGCAGCCGCGGUAAUACAGGAGGGUGCGAGCGUUAAUCGGAAUUACUGGGCGUAAAGCGCGCGUAGGCGGUCUGAUAAGCCGGUUGUGAAAGCCCCGGGCUCAACCUGGGAACGGCAUCCGGAACUGUCAGGCUAGAGUGCAGGAGAGGAAGGUAGAAUUCCCGGUGUAGCGGUGAAAUGCGUAGAGAUCGGGAGGAAUACCAGUGGCGAAGGCGGCCUUCUGGACUGACACUGACGCUGAGGUGCGAAAGCGUGGGUAGCAAACAGGAUUAGAUACCCCAGUAGUC